CCAGACUCCUACGGGAGGCAGCAGUGGGGAAUAUUGCACAAUGGGCGCAAGCCUGAUGCAGCCAUGCCGCGUGUAUGAAGAAGGCCUUCGGGUUGUAGAGUACUUUCAGUCGGGAGGAAGGUGGUAAGGUUAAUAACCUUAUCAAUUGACGUUACCGACAGAAGAAGCACCGGCUAACUCCGUGCCAGCAGCCGCGGUAAUACGGAGGGUGCAAGCGUUAAUCGGAAUUACUGGGCGUAAAGCGCACGCAGGCGGUCGGUCAAGUCGGAUGUGAAAUCCCCGGGCUCAACCGGGGAACUGCAUUCGAAACUGGCAGGCUGGAGUCUUGUAGAGGGGGGUAGAAUUCCAGGUGUAGCGGUGAAAUGCGUAGAGAUCUGGAGGAAUACCGGUGGCGAAGGCGGCCCCCUGGACAAAGACUGACGCUCAGGUGCGAAAGCGUGGGGAGCAAACAGGAUUAGAUACCCCUGUAA
This 470-nucleotide ribosomal RNA is filed under the name uncultured bacterium. Its description in RNAcentral is "bacterial SSU rRNA". It matches the Rfam family "Bacterial small subunit ribosomal RNA", at positions 331 to 793 of the family's 1533-position model. The record is from RNAcentral.